CCUACGGGAGGCAGCAGUGAGGAAUAUUGGUCAAUGGACGAGAGUCUGAACCAGCCAAGUAGCGUGAAGGAUGACUGCCCUAUGGGUUGUAAACUUCUUUUAUAUGGGAAUAAAAUGUUCCACGUGUGGGAUUUUGUAUGUACCAUAUGAAUAAGGAUCGGCUAACUCCGUGCCAGCAGCCGCGGUAAUACGGAGGAUCCGAGCGUUAUCCGGAUUUAUUGGGUUUAAAGGGAGCGUAGGUGGAUUGUUAAGUCAGUUGUGAAAGUUUGCGGCUCAACCGUAAAAUUGCAGUUGAAACCGGCAGUCUUGAGUACAGUAGAGGUGGGCGGAAUUCGUGGUGUAGCGGUGGAAUGCUUAGAUAUCACGAAGAACUCCGAUUGCGAAGGCAGCUCACUGGACUGCAACUGACACUGAGGCUCGAAAGUGUGGGUAUCAAACAGGAUUAGAUACCCGGGUAGUC
RNAcentral lists this ribosomal RNA (460 nucleotides) under uncultured bacterium. RNAcentral's name for it is "partial 16S ribosomal RNA". It matches the Rfam family "Bacterial small subunit ribosomal RNA", at positions 338 to 795 of the family's 1533-position model. The record is from RNAcentral.